UAGGGAAUUUUGCGCAAUGGACGAAAGUCUGACGCAGCAACGCCGCGUGAGUGAUGAAGGUCUUCGGAUUGUAAAGCUCUGUUGGUUGGAAAGAAAAGUCAUCAAAAUAAUACGUUGAUGAUAUGACGGUACCAGCUGAGGAAGCCCCGGCUAACUACGUGCCAGCAGCCGCGGUAAUACGUAGGGGGCAAGCGUUGUUCGGAAUCACUGGGCGUAAAGGGAGCGUAGGCGGGUAUGUAAGUUAGGAGUUUAAUGCACGGGCUUAACCCGUGACCUGCUCUUAAUACUGCGUAUCUUGAAUAUGGAAGAGGGAGAUGGAAUUCUUGGUGUAGCGGUGGAAUGCGUAGAUAUCAAGAAGAACACCAUUAGCGAAGGCGGUCUCCUGGUCCAAUAUUGACGCUGAGGCUCGAAAGUUAGGGGAGCAAACAGG
RNAcentral lists this ribosomal RNA (430 nucleotides) under uncultured bacterium. RNAcentral's name for it is "bacterial SSU rRNA". It matches the Rfam family "Bacterial small subunit ribosomal RNA", at positions 355 to 776 of the family's 1533-position model. The record is from RNAcentral.